AGAGUGGCGGACGGGUGAGUAACGCGUAGGAACCUACCUGGUAGCGGGGGACAACCUGGUGAAAAACCAGGCUAAUACCGCAUACGCCCUACGGGGGAAAGCAGGGGAUCUUCGGACCUUGCACUAUCAGAUGGGCCUGCGUCGGAUUAGCUAGUUGGUGAGGUAAAAGGCUCACCAAGGCGACGAUCCGUAGCUGGUCUGAGAGGACGAUCAGCCACACUGGGACUGAGACACGGCCCAG
This 241-nucleotide ribosomal RNA is filed under the name uncultured bacterium. RNAcentral describes it as "partial 16S ribosomal RNA". It matches the Rfam family "Bacterial small subunit ribosomal RNA", at positions 92 to 334 of the family's 1533-position model. The record is from RNAcentral.